Molecule: non-coding RNA, 21 nt
Filed under: Caenorhabditis elegans
Lineage: Eukaryota; Metazoa; Nematoda; Chromadorea; Rhabditida; Rhabditidae
Source: RNAcentral
UCUUCAUGUGGGAGUUUUUGG